This 269-nucleotide ribosomal RNA is filed under the name uncultured bacterium. RNAcentral's name for it is "partial 16S ribosomal RNA". It matches the Rfam family "Bacterial small subunit ribosomal RNA", at positions 28 to 289 of the family's 1533-position model. The record is from RNAcentral.
GAUGAACGCUAGCGAUAGGCUUAGCACAUGCAAGUCGAGGGGCAGCGGGGGUAGCAAUACCCGCCGGCGACCGGCGCACGGGUGAGUAACGCGUAUGCAACUUACCUAUCAGAGGGGGGAUAACCCGGGCGAAAAGUCGGGAACUAAUACCGCAUGAAGCAGGGGAUCCCGCAUGGGAAUAUUUGCUAAAGAUUCAUCGCUGAUAGAUAGGCAUGCGUUCCAUUAGGCAGUUGGCGGGGUAACGCCCACCAAACCGCGAUGGAUAGGGG